UUAAAAGCAUGAACUAACACGGUGGUUGAAGUAUUAGGUGUUGAACUUUCUUAGUGGCGAACGGGUGAGUAACGCGUGGGCAACCUGCCCUCUAGAUGGGGACAACAUCCCGAAAGGGGUGCUAAUACCGAAUGUGACAGCAAUCUCGCAUGAGGAUGCCUGUGAAAGAUGGCCUCUAUUUAUAAGCUAUCGCUAGAGGAUGGGCCUGCGUCUGAUUAGCUAGUUGGUGGGGUAACGGCCUACCAAGGCGAUGAUCAGUAGCCGGUCUGAGAGGAUGAACGGCCACAUUGGGACUGAGACACGGCCCAGACUCCUACGGGAGGCAGCAGUGGGGAAUCUUCCGCAAUGGGCGAAAGCCUGACGGAGCAAUGCCGCGUGAGUGAUGAAGGAAUUCGUUCCGUAAAGCUCUUUUGUUUAUGACGAAUGUGCAGCUUGUGAAUAAUGAUCUGUAAUGACGGUAGUAAACGAAUAAGCCACGGCUAACUACGUG
This 490-nucleotide ribosomal RNA is filed under the name uncultured bacterium. RNAcentral describes it as "bacterial SSU rRNA". It matches the Rfam family "Bacterial small subunit ribosomal RNA", at positions 47 to 507 of the family's 1533-position model. The record is from RNAcentral.